GGCUAGGGGGCCAUCCCGGCUUACCAACCCGAUGCAAACUGCGAAUACCGGAGAAUGUUAUCACGGGAGACACACGGCGGGUGCUAACGUCCGUCGUGAAGAGGGAAACAACCCAGACCGCCAGCUAAGGUCCCAAAGUCAUGGUUAAGUGGGAAACGAUGUGGGAAGGCCCAGACAGCCAGGAUGUUGGCUUAGAAGCAGCCAUCAUUUAAAGAAAGCGUAAUAGCUCACUGGUCGAGUCGGCCUGCGCGGAAGAUGUAACGGGGCUAAACCAU
RNAcentral lists this ribosomal RNA (275 nucleotides) under Salmonella enterica. RNAcentral describes it as "partial 23S ribosomal RNA". It matches the Rfam family "Bacterial large subunit ribosomal RNA", at positions 917 to 1190 of the family's 2925-position model. The record is from RNAcentral. RNAcentral also lists the same sequence under 4 other names. Lineage: Bacteria; Pseudomonadati; Pseudomonadota; Gammaproteobacteria; Enterobacterales; Enterobacteriaceae.